Populus trichocarpa (black cottonwood) is the source of this 156-nucleotide non-coding RNA. The record is from Rfam. NCBI's taxonomy places the organism in Eukaryota, Viridiplantae, Streptophyta, Magnoliopsida, Malpighiales, Salicaceae.
UCUAGAACUCGAGAUAUGGGCUGAACACUGAACAGUAUAUGGGCUGCAGGAUAGAUUCGGACUUCUUCGUUGUUGUUACAAUUUGGACUUGAAAACGGCCUUGUUAAAUCUUGAACUCCUCAUGAAAGUUGUAGGCCUAUGUCUUAGCUUUCCAUC